Molecule: ribosomal RNA, 465 nt
Filed under: Vreelandella stevensii
Lineage: Bacteria; Pseudomonadati; Pseudomonadota; Gammaproteobacteria; Oceanospirillales; Halomonadaceae
Description: partial 16S ribosomal RNA
Rfam family: Bacterial small subunit ribosomal RNA
Source: RNAcentral
CCUACGGGCGGCUGCAGUGGGGAAUAUUGGACAAUGGGGGGAACCCUGAUCCAGCCAUGCCGCGUGUGUGAAGAAGGCCCUCGGGUUGUAAAGCACUUUCAGUGAGGAAGAACGCCUGGUGGUUAAUACCCAUCAGGAAAGACAUCACUCACAGAAGAAGCACCGGCUAACUCCGUGCCAGCAGCCGCGGUAAUACGGAGGGUGCGAGCGUUAAUCGGAAUUACUGGGCGUAAAGCGCGCGUAGGUGGCUUGAUAAGCCGGUUGUGAAAGCCCCGGGCUCAACCUGGGAACGGCAGCCGGAACUGUCAAGCUAGAGUGCAGGAGAGGAAGGUAGAAUUCCCGGUGUAGCGGUGAAAUGCGUAGAGAUCGGGAGGAAUACCAGUGGCGAAGGCGGCCUUCUGGACUGACACUGACACUGAGGUGCGAAAGCGUGGGUAGCAAACAGGAUUAGAUACCCCUGUGGUC